RNAcentral lists this ribosomal RNA (411 nucleotides) under Salmonella enterica subsp. enterica serovar Chester. RNAcentral describes it as "partial 23S ribosomal RNA". It matches the Rfam family "Bacterial large subunit ribosomal RNA", at positions 1198 to 1608 of the family's 2925-position model. Lineage: Bacteria; Pseudomonadati; Pseudomonadota; Gammaproteobacteria; Enterobacterales; Enterobacteriaceae. The record is from RNAcentral.
AGCUGCGGCAGCGACGCUGAUGCGUUGUUGGGUAGGGGAGCGUUCUGUAAGCCUGCGAAGGUGGCCUGUGAGGGUUGCUGGAGGUAUCAGAAGUGCGAAUGCUGACAUAAGUAACGAUAAAGCGGGUGAAAAGCCCGCUCGCCGGAAGACCAAGGGUUCCUGUCCAACGUUAAUCGGGGCAGGGUGAGUCGACCCCUAAGGCGAGGCCGAAAGGCGUAGUCGAUGGGAAACGGGUUAAUAUUCCCGUACUUGGUGUUACUGCGAAGGGGGGACGGAGAAGGCUAUGUUGGCCGGGCGACGGUUGUCCCGGUUUAAGCGUGUAGGUGUGUGUUCCAGGUAAAUCCGGUUCACUUUAACACUGAGGCGUGAUGACGAGGCACUACGGUGCUGAAGCAACAAAUGCCCUGCUUC